RNAcentral lists this ribosomal RNA (610 nucleotides) under uncultured bacterium. RNAcentral describes it as "bacterial SSU rRNA". It matches the Rfam family "Bacterial small subunit ribosomal RNA", at positions 73 to 682 of the family's 1533-position model. The record is from RNAcentral.
GAUGUGCUUGCACAUCGCUGACGAGUGGCGGACGGGUGAGUAAUGCUUGGGAACUUGCCUUUGCGAGGGGGAUAACAGUUGGAAACGACUGCUAAUACCGCAUAAUGUCUACGGACCAAACGGGGCUUUUGGCUCCGGCGCAAAGAGAGGCCCAAGUGAGAUUAGCUAGUUGGUGGGGUAAAGGCUCACCAAGGCAACGAUCUCUAGCUGUUCUGAGAGGAAGAUCAGCCACACUGGGACUGAGACACGGCCCAGACUCCUACGGGAGGCAGCAGUGGGGAAUAUUGCACAAUGGGGGAAACCCUGAUGCAGCCAUGCCGCGUGUGUGAAGAAGGCCUUCGGGUUGUAAAGCACUUUCAGUUGUGAGGAAAGGUUGGUAGUUAAUACCUGCCAGCUGUGACGUUAACAACAGAAGAAGCACCGGCUAACUCCGUGCCAGCAGCCGCGGUAAUACGGAGGGUGCGAGCGUUAAUCGGAAUUACUGGGCGUAAAGCGCACGCAGGCGGUUUGUUAAGCUAGAUGUGAAAGCCCCGGGCUCAACCUGGGAUGGUCAUUUAGAACUGGUAGACUAGAGUCUUGGAGAGGGGAGUGGAAUUCCAGGUGUAGCGGU